UAAUGAGCUUAUUGUUGGCAUGCUGCCUUCUUUGUCUGCUUCUCUAUAAAUCAAACGAGCACUGGUUAGUGAAUGUGGAAUGCUGGGGAUGCUCCCUCCCCACCUCGUCUUGACCUGCCACCAUCGAGAAUAAAGUGAUAUGAGCUCCUUAUUUGUGGUCUCCACCAUUGCCCUUCUGAAGUCUGCCUGGAUCCAGUGAACUUGCAGGGAGCUGAGCUACUCUUUAAUGGAUUCCCAGAGCCAUCUGGGUCCAGGGGGAAGAUACAAAUCAGAAUGACUGGAGAUGGCCCUGGAUGAAGUGGGAGGCCUUGGACUUUUUGGAUUUUUAACAGGAUUCAGUUUGACUGAGGCAGUGCCCUUUCGGUGAUUAAGGCUAGAAGAGAAGGUCAAAAGGCUGAAAGAAGCAGGUCAGCUCUCCAUGCUGUCAGGGAAAACAAAGUGUUCCUUGAAAGAAUGCCUUCAAGGAAGAAACAAAGAAGAAAAAUUAUGUGAAGAAGCAUGUGGAAUCGUUACUCUGUGACAACUAGCUGCAAGAUGGAAGAAUAAGACACAGAGAAGGGAGGAAGGAGGCCCAUUAAAUAUCUGAAGCUAAAUAAUAUGUGGAGGGGU
This is a long non-coding RNA of Trichosurus vulpecula (common brushtail), 609 nucleotides long. RefSeq lists it as uncharacterized. The record is from RefSeq and is a predicted model, not a curated record. NCBI's taxonomy places the organism in Eukaryota, Metazoa, Chordata, Mammalia, Diprotodontia, Phalangeridae. The transcript is spliced from 3 exons.